GAGAUAAAAAUACACAAGAAGCGAUUGCCUUCCGUUUCCAGCCACUACAAUCCCCAUCUACUUUCUCUUCCUUUUGCGUUUUGUGUGCUCGCCGCUCUGCCUCACUCUCUUCGUACUGUAUCCUCCGUCGCUUGUGGCUUGCAGUGUGCGCCGCCACCGUGCAGAGAAUCGGACGCGCUCGAGCCUCCCGCCCGUUCUUUUUUUUUUGCCUUUUUUCCAUUCUCUGUGCCUCGUCUCGUCACCGGACACCGACACGUACCGCACCGCCAUCUCUCCACGUAGCCGCUUCGCAUCCAAUACUCGGAUAGGGUUUGGCAUCGUUUUUGUGUCUCCCUACUCCCCCACCCCCUCCGCCGCUUUCCCUCCUUCCCUUCCCAUCCACCACCACCACCACCCUCCCACUCCACUCCCGGCACAGGCCCGUGCUGCCACCAUGCAGGCAGUGCUCACUCACAUUCACAAGGCCAAUGUGAAGGCGCUGGUGCUGAGCCGCAUGAACAUCGCCAUGGUCGUCCUGGACGGGAUCGCGAUGCUGAUGCUGAUCGUCACGUGGGCCUUGUCUGUGAAGAGGGAGCAGGGGGGCGUUCUGGCGCGCUACGCGGCGGGCAUUAUCGGCUUUGUGCUGCUGGCCAUCACCAUGAUGCUCUCUAUCCUUGUGCAGCGCCUGCAGCCGCGCCUCUCCAUUCUGUACGCCCACCAGGUGAUGGCGGUGCUGACGCUUAUCCUAAGCUCCCUCAGCAUGGGUAUGAACGACGUGGUUGUGGACCUCUGCAACCGCGGCAAGCAGGUGGACAAGACGCAGUGUGGCUCCCACAUUGCCGAGACGAUCGCGGAGGUGAUUAUUGCUCUUACCAUGGUCUUCGGCUUCGGAUCCUCGCAGCAGCGCAUCGUCACUUUCAUUGACAAGGGCAUCCUGGACGGCAUCAAAGGCCGCUCCAACGCCGGCGGCUUGACGCAGCUGCCGUAGAGGCGGGCGGCAAAGUCAACGACAGCGGGUGGAUGCGUCUGUCGUGGUCUUGAGGGCAGGACGGGUGCGGUGCGAAACGGAGAGGCGCCGCGCCACGGCAGCAACGCAUAGCGCGCGCCUUACCCAUACAGGCGGGGCUACCGCGCUCGUGCACACGCGCCCCGAUACGCGCCCGAUCGUCACCUUGCUCCCUCCAUCCCUGGAGCCAUCACCGUUAUACCACCACACUCCCGCCUCCUCCAGUGGUCUCCCUUGCCCUUCCUACGUGUGCGCGUGCGUUAGGUGCCUGAGCCCCUCCUUUACGGUACUGUGAAAGCGAAAGACAAUCCUACAAGGAAGCGUCACGGACGCAUGUGGGCGUGUGUGUGUGCGCGCGCCACGGCGACCGCUGCGGUUGGAGGUGCGUGCAGGCUGGCGAGAGGCACGCGGCGACAACGAGGGAGGAAAAACGGAGGAGAGUCAGAGGACAGGCAGAGGAGUCACAGGCGCACAAAAGUGUAUGUGUUGCGGUUGUCCUCGAACUCCUUGUGCUCCCGCACGAUGUCUCUGUCUCUUCGGAUGGGAUGGCAUCAGUGUGAGUGUGUGCGCUCGUCCGCGUAUGUAUCUCGCUCUCGACGGGGGUAUGUGUGUUCAUCUUACGCCCGCUGAUAUUCGUCCUUUCCAUGUGCUAAGACAGG
This 1644-nucleotide unclassified non-coding RNA is filed under the name Leishmania donovani. RNAcentral describes it as "gene:LdHU3.10.1530(CDS-product:hypothetical_prote in_conserved)". The record is from RNAcentral. Lineage: Eukaryota; Euglenozoa; Kinetoplastea; Trypanosomatida; Trypanosomatidae.